Molecule: long non-coding RNA, 256 nt
Organism: Oncorhynchus kisutch (coho salmon)
Lineage: Eukaryota; Metazoa; Chordata; Actinopteri; Salmoniformes; Salmonidae
Exons: 3
Source: RefSeq, a predicted model, not a curated record
AAUCCUGGAAGACUAGAUCAUCUCAGCCAACCCUCAGCUGGAGGCUUUUGGAAAUGCCAAGACCGUUAGGAACGACAACUCCUCUCGCUUUGGAAAAUUCAUCAGAAUUCACUAUGGAACUAUAGGAAAAGUGGCUUCCGCUGAUUUUGAGACUUAUCUCCUGGAAAAAUCCAGGGCGACAUUCCAAUUGUCAGCAGAGAGGAGCUACCACAUCUUCUACCAGAUCAUGUCCAACAAGAAGCCUGAGCUCAUAGGU